GAUGAACGCUGGCGGCGUGCCUAAUACAUGCAAGUCGAGCGAACAGACGAGGAGCUUGCUCCUCUGACGUUAGCGGCGGACGGGUGAGUAACACGUGGAUAACCUAUCUAUAAGACUGGGAUAACUUCGGGAAACCGGAGCUAAUACCGGAUAAUAUAUUGAACCGCAUGGUUCAAUAGUGAAAGACGGUUUUGCUGUUACUUAUAGAUGGAUCCGCGCCGCAUUAGCUAGUUGGUAAGGUAACGGCUUACCAAGGCGACGAUGCGUAGCCGACCUAAGAGGGUGAUCGGCCACACUGGGACUGAGACACGGUCCAGACUCCUACGGGAGGCAGCAGUAGGGAAUCUUCCGCAAUGGGCGGAAGCCUGACGGAGCAACGCCGCGUGAGUGAAGAAGGUCUUCGGAUCGUAAAACUCUGUUAUUAGGGAAGAACAAAUGUGUAAGUAACUAUGCACGUCUUGACGGUACCUAAUCAGAAAGCCACGGCUAACUACGUG
RNAcentral lists this ribosomal RNA (497 nucleotides) under uncultured bacterium. Its description in RNAcentral is "partial 16S ribosomal RNA". It matches the Rfam family "Bacterial small subunit ribosomal RNA", at positions 28 to 507 of the family's 1533-position model. The record is from RNAcentral.